CAACCUGUUUUGGGCCCAUUUUGAGCCUCUCUGAGUGCACGGUGGCCAUUUCAGAGGACUGCACACAUGCGCAGCGGCCACCCAAAAUGGCCACCAAAUGCUCGGGGAGGCCAGUAGGGGGAGGGGGAAGUGCCAGAGACCUCCCUGCCAGAGCUGCACUACCACCACCGAGAACGCAGAAGACCUCAGCAGCAGUAAAAUCUAUCCAAACUGCAAUAGUUUAUGGAAACAAUCAUCUGGAAACUCAACAAAGAAACAAAUCUAAGUAUUGACAACCUAAGGUGCUCCAGUCAAGAGAAAUGUAACCAUCACUGCAAGCAUGGAUUUUUCUCUCCCAGACCCCUUCCAUUGAAUGGAAGCCACUUAAAUAAUAACAAAUACUGUAUAGAUUCUACUAAAAAUGUCAUCAGGGCAACGGGGAGGGGAAGCCUCUGAUAAAUUAUCAGAUAGCUGUUACUAACACUGGAGAAACUCAACAGGUGAGCAGAGCAUUUAAGAACAUAAAGAAGAGUCCAUCAAGUACAGCAUCCUGCAUCCCACAGUGGCCAAUCAGAUGCUUCCAGGAAGUCCACAAGUAGGGCUUGAAGGCAGCAACCCUCCCUUGCUGUUGCCCCCGACCCAGAAAAUGGCAUUCAGAGGUAUAUUGCCAUUGAACAUAGAAGUUCCACGUAGCUAUCAUGACUAAGAGCUAGGAUUGACGUCUGCUCCAUGCAUUUGUCUAAUUCCCUUUUAAAGCUAUCUAAGCUAGUGUCCAUCACCACAUCUUGUGGUAAUAAAGUUCACAAAUUAAUGAUG
This is a long non-coding RNA of Hemicordylus capensis (graceful crag lizard), 795 nucleotides long. RefSeq lists it as uncharacterized. NCBI's taxonomy places the organism in Eukaryota, Metazoa, Chordata, Lepidosauria, Squamata, Cordylidae. The transcript has 2 exons. The record is from RefSeq and is a predicted model, not a curated record.